GAUGAAGAACGUAGCGAAAUGCGAUAAGUAAUGUGAAUUGCAGAAUUCCGUGAAUCAUCGAAUCUUUGAACGCACAUUGCGCCCCCUGGUAUUCCGGGGGGCAUGCCUGUCCGAGCGUCAUUGCAACCUUCAAGCGCGGCUUGUGUGUUGGGUCUCGUCCCCCGUGGAUGGGCCCGAAAGGCAGUGGCGGCGUCCCGACAUGGUGCCCGAGCGUAUGGGAAUCCUCUUCCGCUCGAAUCGGCCCAUGCGGCGCUGGUCGUAACCAAAUUUUUUACCGGUUGACCUCGGAUCAGGUAGGGAUACCCGCUGAACUUAAGCAUAUCAAUAAGCGGAGGA
This 336-nucleotide unclassified non-coding RNA is filed under the name soil metagenome. Its description in RNAcentral is "partial contains 5.8S ribosomal RNA, internal transcribed spacer 2, and large subunit ribosomal RNA". The stretch from base 1 to 120 matches the Rfam family "5.8S ribosomal RNA", at positions 35 to 154 of the family's 154-position model. The record is from RNAcentral.